This 460-nucleotide ribosomal RNA is filed under the name uncultured bacterium. RNAcentral's name for it is "partial 16S ribosomal RNA". It matches the Rfam family "Bacterial small subunit ribosomal RNA", at positions 338 to 795 of the family's 1533-position model. The record is from RNAcentral.
CCUACGGGAGGCAGCAGUGAGGAAUAUUGGUCAAUGGGCUUACGCCUGAACCAGCCAAGUCGCGUGAGGGAAGACUGCCCUAUGGGUUGUAAACCUCUUUUGUCAGGGAGCAACGCCGGCUACGUGUAGCCGGACUGAGAGUACCUGAAGAAAAAGCAUCGGCUAACUCCGUACCAGCAGCCGCGGUAAUACGGAGGAUGCUAGCGUUAUCCGGAUUUCUUGGGUUUAAAGGGUGCGUAGGCGGAAUGCCAAGUCAGCGGUAAAAUCGCGGGGCUCAACCUCGCUCCGCCGUUGAAACUGGGGUUCUUGAGUGGGCGAGAAGUAUGCGGAAUGCGUGGUGUAGCGGUGAAAUGCAUAGAUAUCACGAAGAACUCCGAUUGCGAAGGCAGCAUACCGGCGCCCAACUGACGCUGAAGCACGAAAGCGUGGGUAUCGAACAGGAUUAGAUACCCUUGUAGUC